Molecule: long non-coding RNA, 222 nt
Filed under: Theobroma cacao (cacao)
Lineage: Eukaryota; Viridiplantae; Streptophyta; Magnoliopsida; Malvales; Malvaceae
Description: long non-coding RNA (TCAC_LNC005643)
Source: RNAcentral
UCCUUUGAAUUACGAUAUUUGAUAACUAUUGCUCAUCGGGAAAGUGCGAAAGCUGAUACGAGAGCCUUGCGAGGUUUCGAUCGGCAUUCGAGGUGAAAAAUGUCUGUCGAGGCUUCGCAGCGGUUGUCACGGGCUCGAUGGGAGUUCCGGGUCGUGACAUAUAUACAUAUUAACUUAUAAAGUUAUAUCAAUUAAAUAAUAUAACUUGUACUUUCAUAUUAA